CCUACGGGUGGCAGCAGUGAGGAAUAUUGGUCAAUGGUCGCGAGCCUGAACCAGCCAAGUAGCGUGAAGGAUGACUGUCCUACGGGUCGUAAACUUCUUUUAUAAGGGAAUAAAGUGAGGCACGUGUGCCUGUUUGUAUGUACUUUAUGAAUAAGCAUCGGCUAACUCCGUGCCAGCAGCCGCGGUAAUACGGAGGAUCCGAGCGUUAUCCGGAUUUAUUGGGUUUAAAGGGAGCGUAGAUGGGUUGUUAAGUCAGGUGUGAAAGUUAUCGGCUCAACCGUAAAAUUGCAGUUGAUAUUGGCAGCCUUGAGGACGGUUGAGGUAGGCGGAAUGCGUGGUGUAGCGGUGAAAUGCUUAGAUAUCGCGAAGAACUCCGAUUGCGAAGGCAGCUUGCUGGCCUGCCACUGACGUUGAUGCUCGAAAGUGUGGGUAUCAAACAGGAUUAGAUACCCCGGUAGUC
This 460-nucleotide ribosomal RNA is filed under the name uncultured bacterium. RNAcentral describes it as "partial 16S ribosomal RNA". It matches the Rfam family "Bacterial small subunit ribosomal RNA", at positions 338 to 795 of the family's 1533-position model. The record is from RNAcentral.